Molecule: non-coding RNA, 994 nt
Organism: Pelodiscus sinensis (Chinese soft-shelled turtle)
Lineage: Eukaryota; Metazoa; Chordata; Testudines; Trionychidae
Source: RefSeq, a predicted model, not a curated record
CAGAAACCUGAGCCAGAUUGGCAUCAGUGGGAUCAUUGACAACAAUGGGAAAAAGGGUUGACACAAAAUCUGGCUUCCCAAAAAUAAGGACCCACAAACACCUCCCCAGCAAACGACUCCAUGUAUGGCAGUAGAAGAAUGCAGAGGGCUCAGCCCACCAGUCUGAGAAGAUUCUGCCUCCAGCAACCAGGGUGUCUGAAUAGGGAGAGAGGGGGCGGGUCUUAAAGCCAUUCCUCUUCCUUGGGGAUAGAGAGGAGACUGCUGCUGCUCCCCAUGUUUCUCAGAAGGUCAACCUGACCAUGGCUGUCAAUUCAGAGAGAAGUGCAAUAGUCUUGGGAAGAAAGUUGACCUAUUUUUUAAAUAAGUUCCUUUUUGACAUAAACAGCAAGUAGAGUUAUACCUUAGUUACCAAGUUGCUGCAGCAUCCUUGCCUCCUCCCCAAAGCCUGUGACUGUAAAAUUUUUUGGCACGUUGUACUCAAAUGAAGAAUGUCUUGAGAUGUAUCUCUUGAUCACUCCAAAGAAAUAGAUUAAUUUGCACUUCCAUGAAUGUAAAGUGGCUACUUCAUGUAAAUAAUUUUCCAUGUUCUCAAAUCUGAGAUUUCCAUUCAUAACUUUUAUAGAAAUGACUGAUUUGGCUUGAAGCCAUCAAGACUUUUUCGUAUAGUGGAGGGUGGAUGAGAAUAAAAAAAAUUACUUUUGCUUCCUUUUUUAAAAAACUUCAUCUUAACAGUUUGUUAGCUCACCAAGCUCCCUAGGAUUAUGGGGGGAUCCUCUACUGCAGGGGUGACCAACCCGCAGCUCGCAAGCUGCAUGCGGCUCUUCAAAGAAAACAUUGUGGCUUCCGCACCCGCGGCUUUAGGCUCUGAAAGGGGCAGCAUGUUUCUGUCUGAAAGAAACAGAGCCAGAGUUGCAGCAUCCCGUGCAGACUUCAAAAUGACCACUUUCAAGGGGCAACAGCCUGCUCUGUUCUUAAAAGGGCGGCGGCCGGGGCU